GAAAACUGUAGGCCACCUGAAAAUAAGUUUAAACAAGGUAAUAUGAAAUGAACCUAUAGUUUAUGGAGAAAGAAUGCAUUUAUAUUUGGCCAAGUUCACGACUCCUAACGUCUACUAAAAUUUCCUGCAAACAGAAGUCUAAUGAGGGUCUUGUCGACCAACUUGUCGAUACAGUCAAACGGAUAACGACGUGUUACAGUAUCAGCUGGUUGACAGUAUCUUUUUUCUGUACUUAAACACUUGGAAAAUAACUCGGUUAACUAGUAAAACAUGCAAAUAUGUAACAGGAAUAACUUUCACUGUUUGAAGAAAUUACCUGACACGGUUAGGCCUGCCUCAUUCUCGCUGUCCCUGUUCCUGAACACUACAGUAACCGGGCAUCUGAGAGGUCCUCGAUCCUGUCGCCAAGGUAACUACUGACGUUGCUGAAACAUGUGCUGCUCUCAUUACUAACAGGUGUGUAUCACAAUGUUGUGCUCGACCUCUCCAGAAUAUUUAGCAAUGUUUCCGUGGAUUUUCGCCAGUGUAUCGUUCUACAAACACAUUAAGAUAAAGGAAUGAUAUAAUGGGCAAAGGAGUUCUUUGUUACUUCUCAACAUCAAUUACAGUAAUGAGGUCCCAUCCAAGGUUGUGCCCAGAGGGUGUCAUCCCAGUGGAACAGAGGAAUACACUUCAGUGAUGAGACACAGUCAUGCCAUGGCUGGCAUCUUCACAGUCACAUGAUGAUGUUUACACAAUAACAAUGGGCUUCUUGUGUUUUCUGAGGUGAACAUAUGGAUAUGGAUCAAAUGGUUUUAACAAAAUCUAAUUGGGUACAACACAAAGAUUGUCUGUCUUGCAAGUGUCCCCCCUUUUUAACAUGAAUGUCCAGUCAUUCAUUAAAGAUGAUAAUAAUGGGUGAAAUAUAUUUGUUCCUGAAUUUAAAUAAUGUACAAAAGCAGAAAUGGGAUUGAUGGUACCUCCACAGCCUUUACCUCUGUUACCAAAAAUAAACAAAAUGUUUUUUUCUUGCUGAUUUAACACACAUUGAGCCAUUCAGUUUCUUGUACCUGUAAUGGUUAACAGUUACAAAUGUUUUCAAUAUUCAGACUGGUCUCAAGAAUGUGAUCAUUCUGAUUAUUUCAGGGUUCUUUUAUCCAGGCCAGGUCCACACAGGAUGAACACAUCUUUUACUGUACUUUCGUUAUUGUACUGUACUUGAUCACUGAACGAUGUUCAAUCUUGUAAAAGAUACUUGUGGUAAGCCUCAUUCUUAUUGUAUAAAAUAAUAAAAGGGUGAAAUCUUAAUGCAGUAUAGAGUUUUUGUAUUUGGUAUUUGUUAAUGCUUUCAUGCAACAAUAACACAUAACAGUUGAAAUAUACUGUACCUAACAAGCAAAAGUUGAUGUUAUUUUAAUUAAUUAUAACUCAUAUGACCCCCCAUAUAAUGUAAG
Esox lucius (northern pike) is the source of this 1433-nucleotide long non-coding RNA. NCBI's taxonomy places the organism in Eukaryota, Metazoa, Chordata, Actinopteri, Esociformes, Esocidae. The record is from Ensembl.